CUACGGGUGGCAGCAGUGAGGAAUAUUGCACAAUGGGGGGAACCCUGAUGCAGCAACGCCGCGUGGAGGAUGACGCAUUUCGGUGUGUAAACUCCUUUUAUAUGUCAAGAAAAUGACGGUAGCAUAUGAAUAAGCACCGGCUAACUCCGUGCCAGCAGCCGCGGUAAUACGGAGGGUGCAAGCGUUACUCGGAAUCACAGGGCGUAAAGGACGCGUAGGCGGGUUGGAAAGUCAGGUGUGAAAUCCUACGGCUUAACUGUAGAACUGCACUUGAAACUUCUAAUCUAGAGUAUGGGAGGGGGAGAUGGAAUUAGUGGUGUAGGGGUAAAAUCCGUAGAUAUCACUAGGAAUACCUAAAGCGAAGGCGAUCUCCUGGAACAUUACUGACGCUAAGGCGUGAAAGCGUGGGGAGCAAACAGGAUUAGAUACCCCUGUAGUC
RNAcentral lists this ribosomal RNA (439 nucleotides) under uncultured bacterium. RNAcentral's name for it is "partial 16S ribosomal RNA". It matches the Rfam family "Bacterial small subunit ribosomal RNA", at positions 339 to 795 of the family's 1533-position model. The record is from RNAcentral.